This 1373-nucleotide ribosomal RNA is filed under the name uncultured bacterium. RNAcentral describes it as "bacterial SSU rRNA". It matches the Rfam family "Bacterial small subunit ribosomal RNA", at positions 28 to 1381 of the family's 1533-position model. The record is from RNAcentral.
GAUGAACGCUGGCGGCGUGCCUAAUACAUGCAAGUCGAGCGAACGGACGAGAAGCUUGCUUCUCUGAUGUUAGCGGCGGACGGGUGAGUAACACGUGGAUAACCUACCUAUAAGACUGGGAUAACUUCGGGAAACCGGAGCUAAUACCGGAUAAUAUUUUGAACCGCAUGGUUCAAAAGUGAAAGACGGUCUUGCUGUCACUUAUAGAUGGAUCCGCGCUGCAUUAGCUAGUUGGUAAGGUAACGGCUUACCAAGGCAACGAUGCAUAGCCGACCUGAGAGGGUGAUCGGCCACACUGGAACUGAGACACGGUCCAGACUCCUACGGGAGGCAGCAGUAGGGAAUCUUCCGCAAUGGGCGAAAGCCUGACGGAGCAACGCCGCGUGAGUGAUGAAGGUCUUCGGAUCGUAAAACUCUGUUAUUAGGGAAGAACAUAUGUGUAAGUAACUGUGCACAUCUUGACGGUACCUAAUCAGAAAGCCACGGCUAACUACGUGCCAGCAGCCGCGGUAAUACGUAGGUGGCAAGCGUUAUCCGGAGUUAUUGGGCGUAAAGCGCGCGUAGGCGGUUUUUUAAGUCUGAUGUGAAAGCCCACGGCUCAACCCGUGGAGGGUCAUUGGAAACUGGAAAACUUGAGUGCAGAAGAGGAAAGUGGAAUUCCAUGUGUAGCGGUGAAAUGCGCAGAGAUAUGGAGGAACACCAGUGGCGAAGGCGACUUUCUGGUCUGUAACUGACGCUGAUGUGCGAAAGCGUGGGGAUCAAACAGGAUUAGAUACCCUGGUAGUCCACGCCGUAAACGAUGAGUGCUAAGUGUUAGGGGGUUUCCGCCCCUUAGUGCUGCAGCUAACGCAUUAAGCACUCCGCCUGGGGAGUACGACCGCAAGGUUGAAACUCAAAGGAAUUGACGGGGACCCGCACAAGCGGUGGAGCAUGUGGUUUAAUUCGAAGCAACGCGAAGAACCUUACCAAAUCUUGACAUCCUUUGACAACUCUAGAGAUAGAGCCUUCCCCUUCGGGGGACAAAGUGACAGGUGGUGCAUGGUUGUCGUCAGCUCGUGUCGUGAGAUGUUGGGUUAAGUCCCGCAACGAGCGCAACCCUUAAGCUUAGUUGCCAUCAUUAAGUUGGGCACUCUAAGUUGACUGCCGGUGACAAACCGGAGGAAGGUGGGGAUGACGUCAAAUCAUCAUGCCCCUUAUGAUUUGGGCUACACACGUGCUACAAUGGACAAUACAAAGGGCAGCGAAACCGCGAGGUCAAGCAAAUCCCAUAAAGUUGUUCUCAGUUCGGAUUGUAGUCUGCAACUCGACUACAUGAAGCUGGAAUCGCUAGUAAUCGUAGAUCAGCAUGCUACGGUGAAUACGUUCCCGGGUCU